AUAGCCCACCAAAGUCACCAAGACAAUUAGUGUUGGAUCACACAUAUUCAGUGUCCCUUUUUAGCCAUCACGAUGUUUUUUGGUAAGCAUUCUAUGCAACCAGAUGUUGUAGCUAAUAUGAAUUGCUCACAUCUCAGUACUGAAUGUAUAAUGCAAAUGUAGAUUAGAGGAGACAUCCAAUAUACUUCAGUGCCCCUUUUUAGCCAUCAGAUAUUGUUUUUGGUAAGCACUGUAUGCAACCAGAUGUUGUAGCUAAUAUGAAAUGUUCACAUCUUAGUAUUGACUGGAUGCAAAUUUACAGAUCAGAGAAGACAUUCUUAUAUGUUUGAUCUGAGAAACUGGUGGAGCUUAUGAAGCAUAUUAUCAUUGUUACUUGAACAAGAGUCUAUACCACUAGAUGUAGGAGUAGUGCUAUUGGUCUUGCUCAUACAAUCCAGAAGGACCCAGUUACAAAUAAUUUUAUCUAUCAGAA
Molecule: long non-coding RNA, 472 nt
Filed under: Sorghum bicolor (sorghum)
Lineage: Eukaryota; Viridiplantae; Streptophyta; Magnoliopsida; Poales; Poaceae
Description: long non-coding RNA (SBIC_LNC005509)
Source: RNAcentral